GUCCUCUCAGGAUGGCAGCUGGAGAGUGUCCAGUACUCUACCAGUCUCGACUACGGGAAGGAGAGUCAAGCAGGGGCAUACCUGUUCCAUUCCUAACUUGGGCAGUGGCUAGCGAGUGGAGGGCCAUCUGCUACAAGU
Molecule: small nucleolar RNA, 138 nt
Organism: Tachyglossus aculeatus (Australian echidna)
Lineage: Eukaryota; Metazoa; Chordata; Mammalia; Monotremata; Tachyglossidae
Source: RefSeq, a predicted model, not a curated record